RNAcentral lists this long non-coding RNA (322 nucleotides) under Chinchilla lanigera (long-tailed chinchilla). RNAcentral describes it as "lncRNA (ENSCLAG00000023231.1)". The record is from RNAcentral. Lineage: Eukaryota; Metazoa; Chordata; Mammalia; Rodentia; Chinchillidae.
GCUUUGUAAUAAAACACAACUAAAAUUUUGCACAUGUUUAAUUUUUCUCAGGUCUUCUGUCAGAGACACGGGCUUGACAUUCCCUGGAGACACACCAUACAUUCCCUUCUUGUGAAAUCUGAGCUGUGGUUUUGAGAAUACCUCUUCCCAAGUUGGGUGAAGAGUGAAAAAGAAGAACUCUGCACCUCUGAUGUUCAUCCCAUGAAGAUGGUAAGCUAUGAAAUAUUAACUUUAUCUCUCUGGGCCAUGUGAAGAAUGUGGGAAUCCCAGAUACAUAGCUCAACAGAAAGAGAGGACAAAGAAAGAAGGAAGAGAAGUGGGA